Molecule: ribosomal RNA, 244 nt
Filed under: uncultured bacterium
Lineage: Bacteria
Description: partial 16S ribosomal RNA
Rfam family: Bacterial small subunit ribosomal RNA
Source: RNAcentral
UGGCGACCGGCGCACGGGUGAGUAACGCGUAUGCAACCUGCCCGAUACCGGGGUAUAGCCCAUGGAAGCGUGGAUUAACACCCCAUAGUACUUUUAUCCUGCCUGGGAUGGGAGUUAAAUGUUCAAGGUAUCGGAUGGGCAUGCGUCCUAUUAGUUAGUUGGCGGGGUAACAGCCCACCAAGACGAUGAUAGGUAGGGGUUCUGAGAGGAAGGUCCCCCACAUUGGAACUGAGACACGGUCCAA